This is a long non-coding RNA of Athene cunicularia (burrowing owl), 5472 nucleotides long. RefSeq lists it as uncharacterized. The transcript is spliced from 3 exons. NCBI's taxonomy places the organism in Eukaryota, Metazoa, Chordata, Aves, Strigiformes, Strigidae. The record is from RefSeq and is a predicted model, not a curated record.
UCGGCGGCCCCGGCCGGCUGGGCGGCGGUGCCCGCUGCUCCUCGGGGCCGGGCCGGCCUGCCCGGGGCACGGGGGAGGUGCCCCUGUCCGCCAGAGAAGGCCCAGCCUGCCCGCAGGAGAAAGCAUCCAGUUAUUCAACAGUGUUGUGGUUAUUGCAGAACACCCGUAGUGGAUCCAGCUAUUCCAGAUAAUCCCGUGUUUGUUUUCAUCGCAGAAUUUAUGAAAUCGAAAGCCAACGGUGUACUCAUCUGUGGUCAUUUUGCUUUGCAAAACGUGUGCUGAAAAUGAAUUCACAUACUGUUCUGCGGGUCCCUUUGUGGUUUUCUAGCUACUGCUUAUAGUUAUUAGCAAGACAGAAGUUUAAUAAGUUCUGUGAUGGUUUCUGGCUGGGUGCAGACAUGAUGGCAGUGAGAGGGAUGAGUCCUGGCACAGCCUCUCCUCUGUCAGAGCGCAUCCUAUGAACUGGUGCUAAUGGGGCGGCAGGUCCCCUGGUACAUCAUCCUCUAAUUAGCACAGUGGUUCAUUUUCCUCAGACCACAGCAAAAUUACUGUGUUGGAUGAUGUGACUAUGAUAUCAUAGGGCUGCAGAGUGACUAGUGCUGUUACAGGAACAAAAAUAAAGUCACUCACCUCUUUUAGCUUUAUGGAUACAUUAGGGCUGCAAGGUCUCAGCUGCACUUGUCAGGAGUCAGGAGUUUGAAGGAGUAGAGAAGAGGCAGAUACAUAGUGUCAUAUUGCUUCCACUGCCUGACCCCAGCUGGGUGUACAGAGUAGAGGGAAAAGAAAGGGCGUAGCUUAAAAAGGUUCACUUACUUCAUUGUAAAGAUGGAUUUUGAAAAAUGCCGCUCUGCCUCUCCAUGAGUGCCCCCAGGAGGGAUUUUUCCUCCGAGGCUUGCUGCCACCUCUCUCUCUCCAUGUGUUUGUCCCUGGUGGUACAGUCUAGCCCUGUAAUAAUGCUUAUCCUUUGAGAUAUGAGGUAAAAUGAAAAACUUGCCUGGUAGGGUUCUCAGCCUGUCAGGAAAUGUUACAGUUUAGAGAAACCACAUGAGGAGAGGGUGCAGUACCUUUGGGAGUGCCUGGGUUUGUGCCGCAGCUGUGGUCAGCUGUGGUCUUGCUGAGGAGGGCUGUUGGCAGAGCAGGGCAUUCCUUCCAAGAGGACUGUGAAUUUGGCACUUCCCACUCUGUCUGGGUGGGGACUCGCUCAGAUCGGACACAGCCAUCUGUGUCGCAAGAGUUUCGGAAAGGGCGAGAGUAUGUUUCUUAUAACGGUGGCAUGGCCAGGAGUCUUAGGAGAUACGCAGCUGGCUGGCUGCCUCCAGGGAAGGCAGCUUUACUGCUGCUGGGACUCUAGCUAAAAUGGUACCAGGAUACCAAGCGUCCUGGUUAAUCCUAUUUCUUAGUAUUUUUCUGUAAAUAUCAGUAUUCAGAUUACCAACAAAAAUUGCCCCUGUGAGAGAUUCCAGGGGUUUUGCAUGCAUUUUGAAUCCAGAUAGAAGUAAUAGUGUAGUUUUGCAAAAUGAAACACAUCAAAAUGUUUUAAUUUGUUGUGUUUCAACUUUUAUGGGAGAUUUCAUUAUAUAAUUGUAUAAAAUUCAAGCUGAUGAAAUGAAAACUAAAUGUUUCCUCAGUUUCCUGUGAAAUGAAUCAAAACAAUGAAUUUUCAUAAACUACUGUUGCUUUGUUGAAUCAUCAUUUUCUAAGAGCCAUGAACUAUUUUGGAAAAUUUUCAGUCAAUUGCAAUGGAAACCAUAUAACCAGUAUUGAUAAGAGAUUUGGAUGCCUAGGACUCCCUCCACUAGGGUGGCAGAAUCUGACAUUUAACAUAUUUAAGAUCAGGAGAGAUAAUUUUUAAUAAAGCUUUGGGAUGUAUCGAAGCCACCGUUGUUACAACAGACUUCAUCUGGAAUGUUUCUUCUCCUUUGUGUGUGUCCAUGUGAAGAAGCGUGUUAAUACUAUGGGCAUCACAUAACUUCCGUCUGCAUUAUGCUGAGCUUCCUAGUGCUGGGGACAUGUUCUCCUGAACGCGGUGCAGCAUGAAUAUAUAAUGCCAGUGAAAGCACUGAGGUCUCCGAGUCAAGACGCUGGCGAGCUGCCUCCAAAGGCCUGAAGCUAAGCAGCAGAAAAUGCUUCACACAGGAAUACAGGCCCUCUCAGUGUGGCCCUAUGUGCUUCUGUCUGCCCCCGUUGGUGCUUAAAAAUGUGAAGAGAUCCAUCUUUUCAAGAGACUGGCUUUAUGCUGUUCUUGCAAGAUUUUGACUACCAAACAAGAAUAAAAUAAGAGAAAGAAAAAAAGUUUGUGGUUGAAGAAACAGUGUUUUAGAAAAAGAGGAGGAUAUUCCCUCUCCUCAUAGUGUCUGCUCUCCGUUAGAUUUAAGUAAACCAAACCCCAAGAUUUUUACUGUGCUAACUCUGAAGACAAAUAGUACUAUGAGUGCAGUGUUCUUUUGGCUAUUUAUUUCAUGCCUGUUCUGAAUUGUGCUGCAGAUUUUUGUCUGGAGAGCCCAAAAUGACUUUGCAUGGGGAAUGUGUGGGAAAACUGGAGUUACGCACCUUCUGCAAGGUGUGGGAAGUGGUUUCAAUCACAAGCUGUAGAUUCAAAAUGGAGUAAGAAAAAUUACAGUGUCAAGAGAGUUUUGUCUUAACGGGAAACAUGUGAAUUCUGAACAGAGGGGUCACACCCGAAGUUAGAUCACAGACACAUUUCCUAGGGAUCUUUUCUGGAAUAAACGUAAAUUCCUUGAGUCUUGCAUUCAUGAGGAAAAAAUAAGCUGUGGUUUUACCUCGUGUUAGCUAAUGCAGGGUAAAAUAGUGAAAAGGCACACUGGCUGUGCUUUUUAAGAUUUGGUGCAUCUUCCCUUCCCUAGAGUUUUUAUCUUAAGCUGCUAAUUCACAUGAAAAAUUCAAUUUCCUUGCCAUUGCUAGGAAAAUGGGAUCCCCUCCUGUCUUUUCAGCUACUGUACACUAGCUACCGCAUGCUCUUGGAGUUGAGAUUGUGUUAGACUGUGGUUUCCAUAAAGCCUUUUCUUUGGAAAAACAAAAAAAAACCCCAAAUGUGUUCUUUGGGCAUUAUGUAUACUGCAAAACUAUUUUAUGAUUUUGAAAUGGCAUAAAAAAUAGUGUUGGGAUGUUCCACAUACAUUGCAACCCUCUCAGAAUUUUUGUUUGUAAGACAAAACACUUUUUUUCCUGGUUGUGGGACUAAAACCCGGCUCUGCAAGUCAGACAGGGUCCCUUCCAUUCCACAGAUCAUUGUAGUACCAGUAGUUCUGUUUGGCAGAUAAUUUCCUCAGCCACUUGUGUGUAACCCUAUUGAUUUGAAUGUCUGCCCCCAGCAACACCUGUGCAAAUUCAUGGAUGGCACUGGGAUUGCACAGAUGCCAUGGAGGGCAUAUUCUGGCAUACAGGAUAUUUAUUACUGGUGGUGAUGCAUGAGAUGGAAGGGGUCCAGGACUCAGGCUGAGUUUGUGCAGCUGGCAGUUAGAAAUUUACUUGCAAACUGAGCUCAUUGGGUAGGAAAAGCAGUGUGAUAAUGAAUCCAGAGCCCCCAGUGCCAUUUUUGCCAAAUCACUUUCUAGGGCAGGAGAACAAUUUAAAAGAGAUGUGUCUCUUAUUAAAAGUGUCUGAAAACUGUACUCAAAAAAAAGUGACGGGAAUUCCAUAUGAGAUUAUAUUGCAGUUAUCUGAUAUCAGAAAUUAGUUACUAAGCUUAAGUGGAAAUGUUUACUUGUUUCUACUGAAAACUUGAAAUAUGUUAUUUCAAUGUGUGAAUUUAACACAAAAUUUUAAUUUUAGCUUAAUUAAAUAUUCAAUAGCCAGUUACAUGAAGUUAAAAAGAAAACAAUAAUUUUUAACAGCUUUUAUUUUGAUUGAUAUGAAAUCUUCCCCAAAACUCAAAACAAUUCAAAGUGACAGAGUUCAUUCAUAAUACUAUACAUUUAUAUUGUUAGCCUAUAGACAUUGAAAUCCAUAGUGCUUUAGCAGGUCUCUUAGGAAAAAAUGUUGUACCUUGAAACAAUUAUAGACCAUCUCUGGUUAAAUUGCAAAGCCAGCUUGCUUAAUAUGAGUAAUUUGAUGUUGUAAAGUAUUUGUCAAUACCCUAGAGUAGUCUCUUAGGGCACACAGGUUUCACUGUAUAAUAUUUCACACUCAUGUGUGCCAGUUAGGCUGCUUAGGUGGAGACUAUUUACAACUCAUGUAGGAUUUGUUACAUUAUGUACUUAAUUUAUGCAAUAUGCUUAAAGAUUCUCUUUAUCAAGUCUAGAAUGAUAAUCAUAUUGCAUUGGAUUUGUUUAAUAUUUUUGGGGGUAGAGGGGAAGCUUAUUUAGUCCAGUGGGUUUCUUAGAAUGUGAAAAUUUAGCAAGGGCAUGACAAAAAUGCAUAACAGAAUGUAUGCAUUAGGUAUCAUACCAAUAUACCCAUUAGAGACAGAAAGCAUGUUCACAGUUGAACAGACACGGACACACAGAUUUAUCAUUUACCUUUUCCUUCCUCCUAAAGAACAGUGGAGGGCUGCAGCUGGCCUCACCCUCACUUACAACCAAAUAACAUUUGAAGCUAUAAGAUGGACACAGGGUGUUUUCUUUAGCUCCACUUCCUUGAAGGAGGCAGCAACAUGACCUGCAGGAAAGACACUUAAGAAGUCUCAUGUCCCACGUGCUCACCUGAUUGGGAUCUGCUGAUCAGCUGCCCUUUGUGUAUACAGUUAUAGAGCAAGUGAAAAGCCACUCUGCAGCAUAUUCCUGAAAUAUUUGUAAUUUACAGGACUCACGCAGUGAGCAGGAUUCUGCAAACUUCUGCAGGGGUUUUGCUAAGAAGGGCCUUGCCCUAAAUGCCACCUAAUCCCAUGUCAGUCACAAAACUGAAGAUACCCAAGGGCAUGGCUGUAAUGUGACCUGCCCUAUCAGAUCAGCCAGGAGUCACCCACCAGGGAACAGCUCAGAGGUUGGCUUCAGCCGUGCUUUCUCAUCAGUGAGCUGCGAAAGCGUUGUGUGUGAUGUGUGGAGCCCAAGCCAAUGAGCUCGAUGGUGUGCAUGCUGGCUUUGUGCAAGGUAAUCUCCUUCCUAGAUAGCUGUGAAGCUUUACUGCAUAGGCAGGAACUACUUGGAGUAUGGAGUCAGCGCAUCCGCCAGGUGCCCUGGCUGUGUUCCCAUCUGAGCUAUCUCUGCCCUUUUUGCGGAGCUCGGCUUGGAAAACCUGGAGACGUGGGCUUCUUGGGCUGCCCUGACUGCUCCCUCCAGGCAGACUUUUCUUGCUGGCAAUCAUGAGCUUGGGCUUGUGCUGGCAAAAUCCGAGUGAGAGAAGUACAACAGCUGUACAGUGGAAAUAGAAAUUAACGCUUCAUUACUGAACAAAGAAGAAAACCACAUAAUAUUCCUAUUGGUUGUAUAUAUUUAGAGAGAAAAGGUUAUAUGAAGAUCUUUAUAAAGCCCUUGUUUUGUUAUGUCCAUGUAAAUCUUUCUGUUGCCAUUGUUU